CUAGCCAAUUAUGCUCAAUUCCUCUACGUCGUCGCUCAUGAUUACAACAGAGCAGAAGAUUACUUCAAGAGAGCAGUAAGAGCAGAGCCAGUAGAUGCGGAGGCGUUCAGCAAAUAUGCAAGCUUUCUAUGGAGAGUGAGAAAAGACUUGUGUGCAGCUGAGGAAACCUUUUUGGAAGCCAUUAACGCUGACCCUACAAACUCUUACUAUGCUGCCAAAUUAUGCCCAUUUUCUAUGGAACACUGGCAGCAUAGUAAGAGUUUGUAGGGUCA
RNAcentral lists this unclassified non-coding RNA (272 nucleotides) under Hevea brasiliensis (rubber tree). The record is from RNAcentral. Lineage: Eukaryota; Viridiplantae; Streptophyta; Magnoliopsida; Malpighiales; Euphorbiaceae.